AUUGAACGCUGGCGGCAGGCCUAACACAUGCAAGUCGAACGAGGGGCGGACGGGUGAGUAAUGUCUGGGAAACUGCCUGAUGGAGGGGGAUAACUACUGGAAACGGUAGCUAAUACCGCAUACCAUCAGAUGUGCCCAGAUGGGAUUAGCUAGUUGGGGGGGUAACGGCUCACCAAGUCUACGAUCCCUAGCUGGUCUGAGAGGAUGACCAGCCACACUGGAACGGAGACACGGUCCAGACUCCUACGGGAGGCAGCAGUGGGGAAUAUUGCACAAUGGGCGAAAGCCUGAUGCAGCCAGGCCGCGUGUAUGAAGAAGGCCUGCGGGUUGUAAAGUACGUUCAGCGGGGAGGCGUUACCCGCAGAAGAAGCACCGGCUAACUCCGUGCCAGCAGCCGCGGUAAUUC
Molecule: ribosomal RNA, 406 nt
Filed under: uncultured bacterium
Lineage: Bacteria
Description: partial 16S ribosomal RNA
Rfam family: Bacterial small subunit ribosomal RNA
Source: RNAcentral